RNAcentral lists this ribosomal RNA (245 nucleotides) under uncultured bacterium. Its description in RNAcentral is "partial 16S ribosomal RNA". It matches the Rfam family "Bacterial small subunit ribosomal RNA", at positions 528 to 772 of the family's 1533-position model. The record is from RNAcentral.
UAGGGGGCAAGCGUUAUCCGGAUUUACUGGGUGUAAAGGGAGCGUAGACGGCAGUGCAAGUCAGAAGUGAAAGGUCGGGGCUCAACCCCGGGACUGCUUUUGAAACUGUGCAGCUAGAGUGCAGGAGAGGCAAGCGGAAUUCCUAGUGUAGCGGUGAAAUGCGUAGAUAUUAGGAGGAACACCAGUGGCGAAGGCGGCUUGCUGGACUGUAACUGACGUUGAGGCUCGAAAGCGUGGGGAGCAAA